CUGCAAGGGAAUUUACAUUAGCUGGCUGGAUACCGGGCUUCUUGGUAUUUGGCGAGAUUUUAGGAAGCUGGCUACCCAAGCAGCGUGUGCCUGCGGGGUUUGGGUGGCGAGAUUUAAAACAGAGCACUAAACAUGUAGAUCUGUCCGGCGAAGGCUUACGGACGCGGGUUCAAUUCCCGCCAGCUCCACCA
RNAcentral lists this transfer-messenger RNA (191 nucleotides) under ant fungus garden metagenome. Its description in RNAcentral is "transfer-messenger RNA Comam_testo_CNB2". It matches the Rfam family "transfer-messenger RNA", at positions 175 to 374 of the family's 374-position model. From Rfam's summary of the family: Bacterial tmRNA, also known as 10Sa RNA or SsrA, is named for its dual tRNA and mRNA-like properties. Its role is to liberate the mRNA from a stalled ribosome. The record is from RNAcentral.